UACGUAGGGGGCAAGCGUUGUCCGGAUUUAUUGGGCGUAAAGAGCGUGUAGGCGGCCAAGCAGGUCCGCUGUGAAAACUCGAGGCUCAACCUCGAGACGUCGGUGGAAACCGUUUGGCUAGAGUCCGGAAGAGGAGAGUGGAAUUCCCGGUGUAGCGGUGAAAUGCGCAGAUAUCGGGAAGAACACCCGUGGCGAAGGCGGCUCUCUGGGCCGAUACUGACGCUGAGGAGCGAAAGCGUGGGGAGCGAACAGG
RNAcentral lists this ribosomal RNA (253 nucleotides) under uncultured bacterium. Its description in RNAcentral is "partial 16S ribosomal RNA". It matches the Rfam family "Bacterial small subunit ribosomal RNA", at positions 524 to 776 of the family's 1533-position model. The record is from RNAcentral.